AUUAAUUAUAUACAUAGAAACUGAUAAGUUUUCAUAUAAAUAUAUAGCGAAUUUUCAAACUGACAUAUUGCAAGUCUUAUGAAGUUUGGAAAAUGGCGUCAAAGUCAGUUGUAACCUUCGCUCUCCUCGCAUGCGUAUUGACUUUGACGACUGAUGCUGCAGUCAUAACUAGACGUUAUGUAGAAUAUUAUCCCAAUGUUCCCGAUACUAAUAUCGGACCAAACACUUCGAAUAACCAACUUAUAGCCGAAGAUUCUGCAGUGAACAACAUUGGACAAGGUUUUGCUUUAGGAGUAUAGUUAACAGGAACUUUGUACACGCUGUACAAACGAAUGGUACAAUUAACUGUUUUACAAAGCUAAUAAAUGUUCAAUUUUUA
Leptidea sinapis is the source of this 379-nucleotide long non-coding RNA. RefSeq lists it as uncharacterized. Lineage: Eukaryota; Metazoa; Arthropoda; Insecta; Lepidoptera; Pieridae. The transcript is spliced from 2 exons. The record is from RefSeq and is a predicted model, not a curated record.